UAGGGAGCAAGCGUUGUCCGGAAUUACUGGGCGUAAAGGGUGCGUAGGCGGCGCAGUUAGUCAGAAGUGAAAUAUCGGGGCUUAACUCCGGGACUGCUUCUGAUACUGCUGUGCUCGAGUGCAGGAGAGGUAAGUGGAAUUCCUAGUGUAGCGGUGAAAUGCGUAGAUAUUAGGAGGAACACCAGUGGCGAAGGCGACUUACUGGACUGUAACUGACGCUGAGGCACGAAAGCGUGGGUAGCAAA
RNAcentral lists this ribosomal RNA (245 nucleotides) under uncultured bacterium. Its description in RNAcentral is "partial 16S ribosomal RNA". It matches the Rfam family "Bacterial small subunit ribosomal RNA", at positions 528 to 772 of the family's 1533-position model. The record is from RNAcentral.